Molecule: ribosomal RNA, 279 nt
Filed under: uncultured bacterium
Lineage: Bacteria
Description: partial 16S ribosomal RNA
Rfam family: Bacterial small subunit ribosomal RNA
Source: RNAcentral
UGCCAGCAGCCGCGGUAACACGAACCGUACGAACGUUAUUCGGAAUCACUGGGCUUAAAGCGUGCGUAGGCGGCCUAGCAAGUUGGGUGUGAAAGCCCUCGGCUCAACCGAGGAAUUGCGCCCAAAACUGCUAGACUUGAGGAAGAUAGAGGUGAGCGGAACUGAUGGUGGAGCGGUGAAAUGCGUUGAUAUCAUCAAGAACACCAAUUGCGAAGGCGACUUUCUGGCUCGUAACUGACGCUGAGGCACGAAAGCGUGGGGAGCAAACAGGAUUAGAUA